UAGUGGAGCGCUUAGAAGUGAGAAUGCCGGUAUGAGUAGCGAAAGAAGGGUGAGAAUCCCUUCCACCGAAUGCCUAAGGUUUCCUGAGGAAGGCUCGUCCGCUCAGGGUUAGUCGGGACCUAAGCCGAGGCCGAAAGGCGUAGGCGAUGGACAACAGGUUGAUAUUCCUGUACCACCUCUUCACCGUUUGAACGAUGGGGGGACGCAGGAGGAUAGGGUAAGCGCACUGCUGGUUAUGUGCGUCUAAGCAGUUAGGCUGGUUACGAGGCAAAUCCCGUAACCGUGAAGGCGGAGCUGUGAUAGCGAGGGAAAUAUAGUACCGAAGUUCCUGAUUCCACACUGCCAAGAAAAUCCUCUAGUGAGGUGAAAGGUGCCCGUACCGCAAACCGACACAGGUAGGCGAGGAGAGAAUCCUAAGGUGAGCGAGAGAACUCUCGUUAAGGAACUCGGCAAAAUGACCCCGUAACUUCGGGAGAAGGGGUGCUCUGGUAGGGUGCAAGCCCGAGAGAGCCGCAGUGAAUAGGCCCAGGCGACUGUUUAGCAAAAACACAGGUCUCUGCGAAGCCGCAAGGCGAAGUAUAGGGGCUGACGCCUGCCCGGUGCUGGAAGGUUAAGAGGAGGGGUUAGCGUAAGCGAAGCUCUGAAUUGAAGCCCCAGUAAACGGCGGCCGUAACUAUAACGGUCCUAAGGUAGCGAAAUUCCUUGUCAGGUAAGUUCUGACCCGCACGAAAGGCGUAACGAUCUGGGCACUGUCUCAACGAGAGACUCGGUGAAAUUAUAGUACCUGUGAAGAUGCAGGUUACCCGCGACAGGACGGAAAGACCCCGUGGAGCUUUACUGCAGCCUGAUAUUGAAUUUUGGUACAGCUUGUACAGGAUAGGUAGGAGCCUUUGAAGCCGGAGCGCCAGCUUCGGUGGAGGCGUCGGUGGGAUACUACCCUGGCUGUAUUGAAAUUCUAACCCGCACCCCUGAUCGGGGUGGGAGACAGUGUCAGGCAGGCAGUUUGACUGGGGCGGUCGCCUCCUAAAGAGUAACGGAGGCGCCCAAAGGUUCCCUCAGAAUGGUUGGAAAUCAUUCGUAGAGUGUAAAGGCACAAGGGAGCUUGACUGCGAGACCUACAAGUCGAGCAGGGACGAAAGUCGGGCUUAGUGAUCCGGUGGUUCCGCAUGGAAGGGCCAUCGCUCAACGGAUAAAAGCUACCCCGGGGAUAACAGGCUUAUCUCCCCCAAGAGUCCACAUCGACGGGGAGGUUUGGCACCUCGAUGUCGGCUCAUCGCAUCCUGGGGCUGUAGUCGGUCCCAAGGGUUGGGCUGUUCGCCCAUUAAAGCGGUACGCGAGCUGGGUUCAGAACGUCGUGAGACAGUUCGGUCCCUAUCCGUCGUGGGCGUAGGAAAUUUGAGAGGAGCUGUCCUUAGUACGAGAGGACCGGGAUGGACGCACCGCUGGUGUACCAGUUGUCUUGCCAAAGGCAUCGCUGGGUAGCUAUGUGCGGAAGGGAUAAGUGCUGAAAGCAUCUAAGCAUGAAGCCCCCCUCAAGAUGAGAUUUCCCAUAGCGCAAGCUAGUAAGAUCCCUGAAAGAUGAUCAGGUUGAUAGGUUCGAGGUGGAAGUGUGGCGACACAUGGAGCUGACGAAUACUAAUCGAUCGAGGACUUAACCAAA
Molecule: ribosomal RNA, 1660 nt
Filed under: Bacillus sp. APMAM
Lineage: Bacteria; Bacillati; Bacillota; Bacilli; Caryophanales; Bacillaceae
Description: partial 23S ribosomal RNA
Rfam family: Bacterial large subunit ribosomal RNA
Source: RNAcentral